Small nucleolar RNA from Perognathus longimembris pacificus (Pacific pocket mouse), 135 nucleotides. RefSeq annotates it as small nucleolar RNA SNORA46. Lineage: Eukaryota; Metazoa; Chordata; Mammalia; Rodentia; Heteromyidae. The record is from RefSeq and is a predicted model, not a curated record. The transcript has a single exon.
AGAACUAUAUUUAAACCUGUGAUGGGAUUUUCCCCAUUCUUGGUUACGUGGAGUGCAAAAAAAUUCCUGACUCUCUUUGUUGCACAGUUGAUAUGUGGCAUUCAGUUGUUGCUCUUACAGAGUCAAAGAACAUGG